AUACGACUAAAGCACCCCCAUGACAACAAAUGCAGAAGCGGCAACAAGCACUGCGCACAACGACCGAUCUACAUAAGUGACAGUGACCUACCCAAGCCACUCAGCAGGCAUGUCCAUAUAGCCAAAUACCGGCCCCUGCCUCGACUGAUGCACCCAAUGACCCCGAAGGCAAAUAGUAGGGACGCAUCGUUAACCCUGACCCCGACCACUCAC
Pelobates cultripes (western spadefoot toad) is the source of this 213-nucleotide non-coding RNA. The record is from the annotation of a GenBank genome assembly. Lineage: Eukaryota; Metazoa; Chordata; Amphibia; Anura; Pelobatidae.